Molecule: transfer RNA, 73 nt
Filed under: Zea mays
Lineage: Eukaryota; Viridiplantae; Streptophyta; Magnoliopsida; Poales; Poaceae
Rfam family: tRNA
About the family: Transfer RNA (tRNA) molecules are approximately 80 nucleotides in length.
Source: Rfam by way of RNAcentral
GCCUGUCUAGCUCAGUUGGUACAGUGCAAGGCUUUCAAUCUUAUGGUUGUUAGUUCGAGCCCCAUGGUGGGUG